GUGGCCUGGCCAGCCACCUAUAAAAAGGGGCACUUAGCCGAAAUGGGAGAGUUUUUCUCCCAUUUUCAGCCACAGCAAGCUUCCGACCUCCCUCUCCCAAAUCUUGUGUUUUUCCUUCAAUCCCCACCAUUUUCUUUGAGUUUUAAGGUUCCACAAAAGUUUUUGAGUGUUUUUAAGCAAGUUUGGAGCUUGGAAGUCUUGGAGCUAAAUCCCUCCAUUUUCCGAGCUAGGGUCGUUCUUCCUCUCGAUCUUCAAGAGGUAAGCUUCGAUCUAUGCUUCUUUUAUGUUUUAUGAAAGUUUUAUGCAAGUUGAUGGGGUAGAAUGCAUGUUUAGGCUUAUUGUUAUGGGUUUAUGUUGUGAUUUGAACAAUGUAUGUUGGAAAUGUGUUGUUUGAAGUGUUGUAGUUGGGGUAUAUUAUAGUUUGAGACCCCUAGGUGUGAUGUAUGAUGUGUAUGCAUGUGUAGAAACAAGUUUAUGCAUGUUUUGAGGCGUUUUGGAGGCUGUGGACACAAGGGAGCCAAGUUUCUGCCCUUCGGCAGAAACUCAGGUUCGGCCGCCGAAGUGACUUUCGGCCGCCGAACCCCCUUGUGGAGGCAGUUUUGGCUGCCGAAGCCUGCCCCCGAAACUCAAGUUUCGUCUCUGUCUGGGAGGUUCGGCCGCCGAAAGUGCCGCCGAACCUGCAUGACUUUCGGCUGCAGAGGGACUUUCGGCCGCCGAACCUGCCGCCGAAAGUGCUCUGUUCAGCCAUUUCUUGCAUGUUUUCAUGUGAUGUUUUCAGGAUGUUUAGGGGGUUUUUGGGGAGUAUUUUAGAGUCAUAUUCAUGUAUGUUUGGUCCCUCAUUUGAGUCCACCUGUGUAGGUUCGGACCCGAGGAACCGAGACCCCCAGCAGUGAGCCAGCUGCUUCAGAGUCUCUUCAGAGCUAGCCAGAGGUGAGUGGAAUAAACUUUAAGUUUUAAAGCAAAUUAAUGAAAUGUUUUAGCAUGAUUCACGCAUCAUGAAUGCCAUGAGAUAUAUUAGGUUGUUUGCAUUAGAAUUCACGAAUAUGUUGCAUUGCAUACUUUGUUGUUGAUGUGGAUGAAUGUUGAAUGAUCCAUUAGCCCUUGUAUGUCAUGAUAGCCUAUGUGAGUCCAGGUGUGCCUGCUACGGCUCUACGCCCCUGGCACUAUGACAGAUUAUGGAAGUCCGGGUGUGCCUGCUACGGCUCUACGCCCCCGGCAUGUAUAAGUAAGAAAGAUAAGGGCUAAAUGGUGACAAGUUCAUCCUUGUUGUGAAAUGUUUGUGUUAUGGCGCAUACAUGAAAGCAUGAUUUAAAUUGAUGUUUUAUUAUUCUGCUCACUGGGCUCUAGUAGCUCACCCCACUCCCUUUAUCCCCAGAGUUGCAGGUACAGGAUAGAUCAGGAAGUCGGCUAGAGUGAAGUUAAGUCAUGUAUGUUGUAAUAGAUAGUAGUGGACAUGAACAUGAUGUAAUGAGUAUUUAUGACCAUGUAAUGUAAUGAAUGAUUUGAUGAUGUAUUGAGGAUUAUAGUAGUGCUUGACCUAGAGGUGUGUGAAUCCCCAUUAUGUACAGAGUGUUUAAUGAGUAAUGAUGCUAAUGACCAUGAUUAUCCAAGCUGAUAUGUAUGAUGAU
RNAcentral lists this long non-coding RNA (1628 nucleotides) under Manihot esculenta (cassava). RNAcentral's name for it is "long non-coding RNA (MESC_LNC006249)". The record is from RNAcentral. Lineage: Eukaryota; Viridiplantae; Streptophyta; Magnoliopsida; Malpighiales; Euphorbiaceae.